This 444-nucleotide ribosomal RNA is filed under the name uncultured Rikenellaceae bacterium. RNAcentral describes it as "bacterial SSU rRNA". It matches the Rfam family "Bacterial small subunit ribosomal RNA", at positions 939 to 1382 of the family's 1533-position model. Lineage: Bacteria; Pseudomonadati; Bacteroidota; Bacteroidia; Bacteroidales; Rikenellaceae. The record is from RNAcentral.
AUGUGGUUUAAUUCGAUGAUACGCGAGGAACCUUACCUCGGGCUAGAACGCAUUCGGAAUCAGGCCGAAAGGCCUGCGCCAGCGAUGGCCGCUUGCGAGGUGCUGCAUGGUUGUCGUCAGCUCGUGCCGUGAGGGUGUCGGGUUAAGUCCAUAACGAGCGCAACCCCUACUGCUAGUUGCCAGCGGGUCAUGCCGGGGACUCUAGCGGAACUGCCAGCGUAAGCUGCGAGGAAGGUGGGGAUGACGUCAAAUCAGCACGGCCCUUACGUCCAGGGCUACACACGUGUUACAAUGGCCGGUACAGAGGGCAGCCACCCCGCGAGGGGGCGCGAAUCCCGAAAGCCGGUCCCAGUUCGGAUCGGAGUCUGCAACCCGACUCCGUGAAGCUGGAUUCGCUAGUAAUCGCGCAUCAGCCACGGCGCGGUGAAUACGUUCCCGGGCCUU